UUCGUUUGUUCAAACGGUGAGAUUCAUUUUGGCUACAAACAGCAAAAAAGACAUGAUGAUUUUAGUGCAGGAAAAAGAAAAUGUUGCAUUUUUUUGUUGAGUUGUCUGAUAGACACAACUCCAAACUUACUUGGAGAAGGAUACACACACUCCAGGUCUUCCUCAGGUUUUCCUGUCCAAGUACUAAUCAGGACCGACCCUGGUUAGGUUCUGAGAUUGGUUUGUACAGAAAGCCAUGGAAGUGGUCGGACGGCAGCGGCAGCACGUUCAGAAACUGGCAGGUCGACCAGCCGGACAACAACGCCAACAGCAGUGAGAGCUGUGUCAAGAUGUACAACGCAACAUGGGACGACUAAAAUUGUGACACCAAACUCACGUUUCUGUGUCAAAGUAACUCUCAGAAUACACAGAUUCUCCUCAUGAAGUUAUUUUUCUACAAUAUGUACUAAAAAAAAGUUUUCACACCUUGCUGACUCAUUUUCUUUCUGUCUGCUGCAAUUUUGAAUAGAUCCAGUUGAAGAGCCAACGCACACCUCCAAAAUCCAAGACAAAUGCCGACCUGACAGAUCCAAAUGUUGCAAAUGAAGUUAUGCAAAAGCUGCAGGCACAUCUGUACUUGCAUUUUAAACAUACCAAGAUCUCCCUGAAGUCUGUGAGAAAACAUCCUUAACCACAAAAGCUAAGUGAAGAUUCUCUCAAAUAUUACAGAGAUAUGUCAUCUGUCAGAAGAAGAAAAAAAAAAAAAUUUUUUUUUGAGCACCAGUAGAUGUAUCAUUCGUGUUUCUCCAACAGGCCCGUCUGGAGACGGAACCCCGUAAAAACAGCACAGUUGGUCAUUGAUAACGGCAGAUUGUCAAACUUUUCCUGCUGUUUGUCUUUUCUUGUUUUUGCUUCUGUUGUGAGCCUGAAUGUCUUAAAAACUCUUUAAUGUCAGUCUCACUUACUGCAAUUAAUAAUCAAUCAGUAAAUAAAGUGUGUGACCAAGUAUCGACAUAUUUAGUGGAUUUAUAAAAUACUAUUUGUGUUUUGUUGAAAUGUUAACAUUAACCAUUUGGUGGUGUUUUAAAGUGAAAUUUUGUUUGCAGUUGAAAGAUGUAAUCAAUAAAUGUAUAAUUUUUUUUCUUUCA
Molecule: long non-coding RNA, 1127 nt
Organism: Thalassophryne amazonica
Lineage: Eukaryota; Metazoa; Chordata; Actinopteri; Batrachoidiformes; Batrachoididae
Exons: 3
Source: RefSeq, a predicted model, not a curated record